UGCUUCCGCUUAUGACAUCUGUUCAUACAUAGUGAAACAUAGUCAUGAUAAGGAAGUUCUGUUGAUUUCAUGCUUGCUUGCAACAAGUCCUUCUCCCUGUGGUUUAUGCUCAUGUACUCAUUUCCUGAUUCCAAAAAAGUGGUGGUUUCAUCGUUAAAGACGGCUUUUGUGCUUGCUUGCAAAGAUAUUCCAAACAGCAGGGGAUUAUGUGUGAUCUAAUCUGCUCUGCAAUGAAUCCAUUGGAAGGGGGGAAACAACAGAAAGUUGGAAAGGCAGAUGUGAAUUGACUGUGUAAUCCUGUGGUGCCUGCCAACAACAUGACUGGAACUACAAAGAAAGGCAGUGUUCAACUGAGAAUUGCCAAGAUACCUCCAUUAAGAAGUGCCAUGCCUACUUGGAAAUCAUGGAUUCUCACUUGGAAGUUGUCCCAGUGGACAGCUUUUGGUUCAUUUAGGAAUCAAGCUGUACAGUGAGAGAAAUGUGAAUCCACUUGCAUUCACUUGCUGGGAAGUCACACUAGGGAAUUCAGGUCACUUUGCAUGAAUUGGCCACACAGGGAGACAGGAGGAAAGCCUUGUUUACAGCUUGUUUGUGGCUCUCUUGUAGCCCUGCAGGAGGCAUAGUUACAAGGAAACUACUUAAUAAGGUGUAAACAAGAAUUUUCUCCUCCUACAUCUUUUUUGGGGGGAUGUAGGUGUCCUAAUGCAACAUUAUGGAUACUAAGCCUUUUUUAAAAAGUAGGUGCAUGGAUCUCAAAGUUUUUCUGAGAUAAACAAUGCAGAUGUGCAGAGGCUUCUCAUAAGCUGUAAUAUAGCUUUCCUGGUGAAUGGACUUGUUAAAAAACACCCAGCAACUCUGUAAGCUGAAUGCCAGUAGUGCAUGGAGGCUGAAUGUCUUACAUAUGAUUGUCUGACUGCUGGAUGGAAAGUAUUGAUGUGUGCUCUGUUAUUGUAUAAUGAGCUAUGAGCUCAGGUACAAUACAUGUGUGGAAACAGGUCAAUUUCUUUGAGACAAGGUGGCUGACUUGGAGAACCUGAGGGGCAGAGGGGCUGGCGCAUGGCACUUGCAGGAAUCUCUUAUUCUAUCCUUGGGUCUGUUGACUGCUUUCUCCUUCAGCUCCUCAAUUUGAUGCCAGUGCCAUCCCUGCUGGGUCAACAGAUGGCCCCAUCCUCCAUAAUUGUAUCCAUA
This 1188-nucleotide long non-coding RNA is filed under the name Pogona vitticeps (central bearded dragon). RNAcentral's name for it is "lncRNA (ENSPVIG00000023146.1)". The record is from RNAcentral. Lineage: Eukaryota; Metazoa; Chordata; Lepidosauria; Squamata; Agamidae.